AACUUAAAGGAAUUGACGGGGCCCGCACAAGCAGCGGAGCAUGUGGUUUAAUUCGAAGCAACGCGAAGAACCUUACCAAGACUUGACAUCCCCUGACAGCUGUUGAAAGGCAGUGUCUCUUCGGAGCAGGGAGACAGGUGGUGCAUGGUUGUCGUCAGCUCGUGUCGUGAGAUGUUGGGUUAAGUCCCGCAACGAGCGCAACCCUUAUCCUUAGUUACCAGCACGUAAAGGUGGGGACUCUAGGGAGACCGCCGGGGACGACUCGGAGGAAGGUGGGGACGACGUCAAAUCAUCAUGCCCCUUAUGUCUUGGGCUACACACGUGCUACAACGGCCGGUACAAAGGGUUGCGAAGCCGUGAGGUGGAGCGAAUCUCAAAAAGCCGGCCUCAGUUCGGAUUGGAGGCUGCAACUCGCCUCCAUGAAGUCGGAAUCGCUAGUAACCGCAGAUCAGCUACGUUGCGGUGAAUACGUUCCCGGGCCUU
RNAcentral lists this ribosomal RNA (483 nucleotides) under uncultured Lachnospiraceae bacterium. RNAcentral's name for it is "bacterial SSU rRNA". It matches the Rfam family "Bacterial small subunit ribosomal RNA", at positions 898 to 1382 of the family's 1533-position model. The record is from RNAcentral. Lineage: Bacteria; Bacillati; Bacillota; Clostridia; Lachnospirales; Lachnospiraceae.